Molecule: long non-coding RNA, 3126 nt
Filed under: Apteryx haastii (Great spotted kiwi)
Lineage: Eukaryota; Metazoa; Chordata; Aves; Apterygiformes; Apterygidae
Description: lncRNA (ENSAHAG00000016495.1)
Source: RNAcentral
AUGUUACAGUGUCAGGCAGCUGUUCCAAGAAAGGACAAGUCUGAACCUUUUUUGGGACUUGUGGAUAGAUCACAAGCUGUUCUGUUAAGUGAAAAAAAAGAAGAUGAAGUGGUGCCUCUCUUUACUCUUUUAGAAGAGAUUGAGGGGAGAGAGGAAGAAGACCAAGAUCCAUCUGUCAGAAGACCUUUAACAGAAGAUGUAAAGAAUCUGCAUGUUACUUUAAGCGAGAAUGACCACUGUCAGUCUUUAUUAAGUCCUGUGGAAUUAGAGGAGGAGUAUCAGAAACUUUCUUCGUUAAACGUCAAGGAAAUAUUGCCACUAGCUAUAGAAAGAGAUGUAUUUGCGAUAGAGCAAGAACAGACAUAUUCAGAAACAAAAAUAACACAUCUAAACUCUUCUUUAACUAAAGCUCUUGAAGAGUCUUUUAUAGACACAUUUAUCAACUUAAUAAUCCUGAAAUCAGUAGUAGGCAAAAGCCUUGAGGAAGUUAUCAAAGACAGACUUUCAGAAGUAACGGUAGUCACAAGAGAAGUGGGGGAGGAAUAUCAGAAUCUGCAGAGUAUUACAAGUAUAUCACCUGUUGUUUUGGAGAGCAGCAUAUAUGAAGGUCAAAACAUUUCAAGGAAAAGACUUCCUGCUGAAGGACAAACAGUUAAUCUCAAGUCUGUUGUAAGUCAAAACCUACAAGAUCAUCCCAUGGAGAGAUUUUUUGAAAGAGGUAUGAUCCCAGAUUUAGAAUUAGGAAAGAAGCACCAGGAUUUAUCAUCACAGGGAAUUCAGGAGGGAUUAUCAGUGGUUUCAGAGCCAGAAUUAGCUGGCAAAUCUUGUAAUUCUGAGGAGAGAACUUCAGAAACAGAUGUGACAAGUCUUAGAUAUGUUUUGAAACAGAAUCAGUCUGACUUUUCUGUAGAGAGGCUUAUAGAAAUGAGGUUAAUGGAAGAAGUGCAAUUAGAAAAGAAACAUCAACACUCCUUUCUGCUAAAUGCUGAUACGAGACAACCAAAACAUGAAGCAGAUUUUUCUGAUGGAAGGAAAGAGAAUCAAUCAGAAAUGGAAAUAUCAGUAAUAAAAGCUUUGAGUUGUGACCUGCAAGAUCAUUCUCCUCAGAGAUUUUCAGAAACUGGAUUAGUCAAAGGGACUGAUACAGAAUAUGAAUGCCAAAAGAUACCUUUGCAAAGUGUUAAAGAAACGCAACUAGUAGAUACAGGAAUGRAUUUACCUGAGAGAGAAAACAGUUGUGAGGGAAAUACUGCCAAAACAAAAAUAAUAAAUCUUAAAUCUCCAUUACCUCAAAAUCUGCAAAAAUAUACAUUAGAAAGACUUUCAGAAAUGAAAUUAGAAAAGGAUUCACAGAAUACAUCACUGGACGUCAUUGAUGUCAGAUUGCCAAUAGAUGUGGAGACGGAGCUGCCUAGGAUAGGACAAGAUCAUCACCAGCAGAAGCCUUCAGAACUGAAAGUAAAAUCUGUUUCAAACAAAGCUCUUCAAGAUACUCUUAUAGAAAGAGUUUUGGAAACAGAAAUAAUGAAUCUAAAGCCUCUUUUAAAUAAAUUUCUCCAACAUCAUCUUACAGAGAAACUUUCACAGCAAAUGAUGGAAGAGAAACUGAAGAAAGUACAUCAGAAUUUAUCCUCGUUGAACGUUAGAGAAGGAGAGCUUGUGGCACAAGAGACAGAUUUACUGGACAUAAACCAGGUUAACUGUAGUGAAAAUCUAGCUGAACAAUCUAUAAUAAAAGGAAAACCUGCAUUAAGUGAGAGUAUGCAAAACUUUCUUCUAGAGCUACUCCCAGAAAAAGAAAUUAUGACUCUAAAAUCAGUUUUAAGCAAAAAAAUCCAGGAUCAUCUUGUUGAAAGACUUGCAAAAAUAGGGUUAAUCACAGAAGAAGAAUUAAGGAAGGUGAAAGAGAACUUGCUUCUGUUAAGAGCUAGUAGAGGACAGUCAAAAGACAGGGAAUCUGGGCUGCUCAAGGAAGAACAAAGUCCUACUCUGAAAUCUUUAUUAUACCCAAAUCUUCAGGAUAAACCUUCAGAAACAAAACAUUUAGAGUCUCUUACAGGCAAAAUGCCAGAAGACUCUAAAGGCAGUAUUUCUGAAACAGAAGUAACAAGUUCAGAAUCUAUUUUAAGCAACACCUUAGAAGAUCUUCGUAAAGAAAUUAUUUUGGAAAUUGAAAUAUUCAAUAAAAUUGAAGAAGAGAGUGAUGCAGAGAAGCCUCAAACGGAUAGUGAUACAGAGACAAGAAAUGAAAAACAAGAACUUUGUGAGGAUGAAUUUCCAGAUCCAGUAGCAGAUGUAGUGGUUAACGUAAAUAAUGAAAAACAAACUAAUAAUUUAAUGCACUUUCUUAAAAAAAAAAAUUUUGAAAAAGAAAAUCAAGACAAAAAGGGUGAAAUAGCUCAGUCAAAAAAAGAUUUUGAAAGACCAUUAAGUCAGAAGGCUCAUGAUGAGAUAGAAACAUCUGAAACAGUAAAUUUUUCUUCUUUUUCAAAUGCUUGUGAUGCUAUUAUUCAAACAGACCUGAUAGAAUACCCCUGCAGGCUCCAGCCCUCCCUUCCAGCAAGUGGUCCAAGGUCUAUCUUUUUACAAGCAGAGCCUGAGGAAGAAGAAAAGUCAUCAAGGAAUCUUGACAGGAAGUCAAGAGACAAACUGUGUGGUAAGGCUCCUAAGAAAUAUGCCAUGCCAUACCACGAACAUCUGGGUCAAAUGUUAACAGGUACUCAGCGUAAGAAGGAAAAACAAACUAAUUUGAGGAAAUCUAGGGAGGGUGUAAAGGAGAAACAUGGAAAGUAUUCUGAACCAACUCCUUCAGCAUCACCUGCUAUGGGAUCCAAGGAGUCAAAAUCAUCUGUAUGCUCCCAUAACAGGGAAAACUUGAAGCAGAAAGCAGAGCAGGAAAAAGAACAUGACAACAAACCAAAGAAAUCACUUAGUAAGUCCGUGAGAGCUCCAUCAGAUACUGCAGAACAACAGCCACCACAAACCGUGAAAGCAUUUAAAGAAAACUCAUCCUCAAAUGGCUUUCCAGAUCCAGGUUCCAGACCUAUGCCCAUGCCAUGUGAAAAAGAAAAUAUGCCUGUAAGAAUAUUUUCUUUCAGUUGUCCACAUCAAACAUAUGUGAACUAG